CUUUGUUAAAUAUACUAGCUUGUACGCUUGACUUCUAGAUGACUAGAUAUGAAUCCUAGAUUAUCGUGAGAUUAUUGAAGAGGCAAUUUUUAGUCAUAUAUGGAGAUUAAUUUAUUGUUUAAAUUUCUAUCUGCAAGUAGUCAUGGUGAGUGGUCAUGAUUUGAUGUAGCACCGGAAUGAAGCAGUAAUUCUGUAGGAGCCAAGAGAUGUUUAUUUCUGGAAACUAAUAGAGACUAUUACAUGCUCACAGAAGAGCAGGUAAGUAUAAGUACAACACCAUUCCCUCUGGAAUAUUUUUAUUUUUAUUUUUUGCUUCUGUAUUACAGAUGAACAAGCCUGUGCAUCAUUUUUUUCAGCCUGCGGAUGGCGGUGGAGCGGGCGGGCAGCAGUUGUUGCCGCAGCAGGCGUGGCCGCAGGUCCUCGUCGGAUGCUGCACGAUCCAGCAGCACUGGCACGCUGAAACGAAACGGAGUGCAUCCAAAAAAUUGAAGAAGCCAUGAAGAUGAUGUGAGCAUGCCAACAGCAGGCAGAAGAACAUGACUGUCUAACUAGCCCAGGUUGAAAAGGAAAAAAAAAAGAGAGAAGAGCUGAACUCAUGACUUACGCAGUGAAGCAGUGGCGGUUGUGAUGAAGAGCGCAAGCAGAAGCAGCAUGAGCCAGGACGCCAGGGCAAGGAGAGUGUUCCUCCUCAUGCCUCCUGUUCUGUCUGCUGUUUCCCCCUCUUGAUAUGCUUCACGGUUGAGGGCUUUCAGGGGAUCUACGUGUUUGCAACACAAGGAGAUGUGGUGGUAGUCACUUAUUUUGAGAUGAAGGGAGUAUAUAUAUAGGCGUCCGUGUAUGGCCUGGCUCGACUCGUGAUAAAGAUCCGGCCCAGCCGCUUUGCUUGACUUGGACUGAUUGAUAUGCCGACUGCCGCAGUGUAUAUGUUGGACUUGACAUCGCAGCGUAUGUGGACCCCGUGUCGACUAGUCAUGCUGUCUAAGCGCAUGUAAAAUGAUGACGUAUGAAUACAGAUGCUUCAUGAUAAAAAAUAGUUUGGGGCAUCUACAUUUUUUUUCCGAAUGCAAGCUAUCACUUAGUGAGACUCAUUAAGAAAUAGAAAAUAAAAUAUUUACU
This 1116-nucleotide long non-coding RNA is filed under the name Triticum aestivum (bread wheat). Its description in RNAcentral is "long non-coding RNA (TAES_LNC007213)". The record is from RNAcentral. Lineage: Eukaryota; Viridiplantae; Streptophyta; Magnoliopsida; Poales; Poaceae.